AACAAAACUAUCCGCCAGAGAACUACUAGCAACAGCUUAAAACUCAAAGGACUUGGCGGUGCUUUAUAUCCCUCUAGAGGAGCCUGUUCCAUAAUCGAUAAACCCCGAUAAACCUCACCAUCUCUUGCUAAUUCAGCCUAUAUACCGCCAUCUUCAGCAAACCCUAAAAAGGAAGAAAAGUAAGCACAAGUAUCUUAACAUAAAAAAGUUAGGUCAAGGUGUAGCCCAUGAGAUGGGGAAGUAAUGGGCUACAUUUUCUACAACUAGAACAUCCACGAAAAUCCUUAUGAAAUUAAGUAUUAAAGGAGGAUUUAGUAGUAAAUUCGAGA
RNAcentral lists this ribosomal RNA (329 nucleotides) under Panthera tigris (tiger). Its description in RNAcentral is "partial small subunit ribosomal RNA". It matches the Rfam family "Bacterial small subunit ribosomal RNA", at positions 858 to 1349 of the family's 1533-position model. Lineage: Eukaryota; Metazoa; Chordata; Mammalia; Carnivora; Felidae. The record is from RNAcentral.